This is a non-coding RNA of Pelobates cultripes (western spadefoot toad), 99 nucleotides long. The record is from the annotation of a GenBank genome assembly. NCBI's taxonomy places the organism in Eukaryota, Metazoa, Chordata, Amphibia, Anura, Pelobatidae.
CUGUUCUGUCUCUGCUCCCCCCCCCCCAGCGCACUACAAUGAGGCCCCGGUCUCAUUGUAGUGCGCUGGGGAGGGGGAGCAGAGACAGAACAGCCAGCU